GACGAACGCUGGCGGCGUGCUUAACACAUGCAAGUCGAACGGAAAGGCCCUGCUUGCGGGGUACUCGAGUGGCGAACGGGUGAGUAACACGUGGGUGAUCUGCCCUGCACUUCGGGGUAAGCCUGCGAAACUGGGUCUAAUACCGGAGAGGAGCGAUUUUGAGGGUGAGGGGUGGAAAGUAUGUUCGGUGUGGGGUGAGCGUCCGGCCUAUCCGCUUGUUGGUGGGGUAGUGGCCUACCAAGGCGGCGACGGGUGGCCGGCCCGGGGGGGUGGACGGCCAACUUGGGGCUGGGAUAACGGCCCGAACUCUACGGGGGGGCGCAGUUGGGGAUUUUGCCCAAUGGGCGCGAGCCUGAUGCAGCGACGCCGCGGUGGGGAUGACGGCCUUCCGGUUGUAAACCCCCUUCGCUAGGGACGAAGCUUUUUGUGACGGUACCUAGAAAAGAAGCACCGGCUAACUACGUG
This 465-nucleotide ribosomal RNA is filed under the name uncultured bacterium. RNAcentral's name for it is "partial 16S ribosomal RNA". It matches the Rfam family "Bacterial small subunit ribosomal RNA", at positions 28 to 507 of the family's 1533-position model. The record is from RNAcentral.